RNAcentral lists this ribosomal RNA (449 nucleotides) under uncultured bacterium. Its description in RNAcentral is "bacterial SSU rRNA". It matches the Rfam family "Bacterial small subunit ribosomal RNA", at positions 329 to 793 of the family's 1533-position model. The record is from RNAcentral.
GGCCAGACUCCUACGGGAGGCAGCAGUGGGGAAUAUUGGGCAAUGGGCGCAAGCCUGACCCAGCAACGCCGCGUGAAGGAAGAAGGCUUUCGGGUUGUAAACUUCUUUUGUCAGGGAAGAGUAGAAGACGGUACCUGACGAAUAAGCCACGGCUAACUACGUGCCAGCAGCCGCGGUAAUACGUAGGUGGCAAGCGUCGUCCGGAUUUACUGGGUGUAAAGGGCGUGUAGCCGGGUUGACAAGUCAGAUGUGAAAACCACGGGCUCAACCUGUGGCCUGCAUUUGAAACUGUGUUUCUUGAGUACUGGAGAGGCAGACGGAAUUCCUAGUGUAGCGGUGAAAUGCGUAGAUAUUAGGAGGAACACCAGUGGCGAAGGCGGUCUGCUGGACAGCAACUGACGCUGAGGCGCGAAAGCGUGGGGAGCAAACAGGAUUAGAUACCCCAGUAC